AGCAGCCGCGGUAAUUCCAGCUCCAAUAGCGUAUAUUAAAGUUGUUGCAGUUAAAAAGCUCGUAGUUGAAUUUCGGGGUUAGUAGGUUGGUCAUGCCUCUGGUAUGUACUGGUCUCACUGAUUCCUCCUUCCUUAUGAACCGUAAUGCCAUUAAUUUGGUGUUGCGGGGAAUUUGGACUGUUACUUUGAAAAAAUUAGAGUGUUUAAAGCAAGCUAACGCUUGAAUACAUUAGCAUGGAAUAAUGAAAUAGGACGUUCGAUCUUAUUUUGUUGGUUUCUAGGAUUGACGUAAUGAUUAAUAGGGAUAGUUGGGGGCAUUAGUAUUCAAUUGUCAGAGGUGAAAUUCUUGGAUUUAUUGAAGACUAACUACUGCGAAGGCAUUUGCCAAGGAUGUUUUCAUUAAUCAAGAACGAAAGUUAGGGGAUCGAAGACGAUCAGAUACCGUCGUAGUCUUAACCAUAAACUAUGCCGACUAGGGAUCGGAUGAUGUUAAUUUUAUAAUGACUCAUUCGGCGCCUUA
This 520-nucleotide ribosomal RNA is filed under the name uncultured Glomus. Its description in RNAcentral is "SSU rRNA". It matches the Rfam family "Eukaryotic small subunit ribosomal RNA", at positions 569 to 1090 of the family's 1831-position model. Lineage: Eukaryota; Fungi; Glomeromycota; Glomeromycetes; Glomerales; Glomeraceae. The record is from RNAcentral.